GACGAACGCUGGCGGCGUGCUUAACACAUGCAAGUCGAACGGUGAAGCGCCUUCCUUUUUGGUGGGUGUGGAUGAGUGGCGAACGGGUGAGUAACACGUGAGUAACCUGCCCCCUUCUUCUGGAUAACCGCAUGAAAGUGUGGCUAAUACGGGAUAUUCUGGGUCUGUCGCAUGAUGGGUCUGGGAAAGAUAUUGUUUCGGUGGGGGAUGGGCUCGCGGCCUAUCAGCUUGUUGGUGGGGUGAUGGCCUACCAAGGCGGUGACGGGUAGCCGGCCUGAGAGGGUGGACGGUCCCACUGGGACUGAGCCGCGGCCCAGACUCCUACGGGAGGCAGCAGUGGGGAAUAUUGCACAAUGGGCGCAAGCCUGAUGCAGCGACGCCGCGUGAGGGAUGGAUGCCUUCGGGUUGUGAACCUCUUUCGCCAGUGAAGCAGGCCUGCCUCGUUUGUGGGUGGGUUGACGGUAGCUGGAUAAGAAGCGCCGGCUAACUACGUG
This 494-nucleotide ribosomal RNA is filed under the name uncultured bacterium. Its description in RNAcentral is "partial 16S ribosomal RNA". It matches the Rfam family "Bacterial small subunit ribosomal RNA", at positions 28 to 507 of the family's 1533-position model. The record is from RNAcentral.